RNAcentral lists this ribosomal RNA (253 nucleotides) under uncultured bacterium. Its description in RNAcentral is "partial 16S ribosomal RNA". It matches the Rfam family "Bacterial small subunit ribosomal RNA", at positions 524 to 776 of the family's 1533-position model. The record is from RNAcentral.
UACGAAGGGGGCUAGCGUUGCUCGGAAUUACUGGGCGUAAAGGGCUCGUAGGCGGCCAACUAAGUCAGACGUGAAACCCCUCGGCUUAACCGGGGAACUGCGUCUGAUACUGGAUGGCUAGAGGUUGGGAGAGGGAUGCGGAAUUCCAGGUGUAGCGGUGAAAUGCGUAGAUAUCUGGAGGAACACCGGUGGCGAAGGCGGCAUCCUGGAUCAAUUCUGACGCUGAGGAGCGAAAGCCAGGGGAGCAAACGGG